RNAcentral lists this unclassified non-coding RNA (222 nucleotides) under uncultured bacterium. RNAcentral's name for it is "contains 16S-23S intergenic spacer region". The record is from RNAcentral.
UCCGGUUUGUCACCGGCAGUCCCAUUAGAGUGCCCAACUGAAUGUAGCAACUAAUGGCAAGGGUUGCGCUCGUUGCGGGACUUAACCCAACAUCUCACGACACGAGCUGACGACAGCCAUGCAGCACCUGUGCUGGCGCUCCGAAGAGGGGCCGGUGUUUCCACCGGCUUGCACCAGCAUGUCAAGCCCAGGUAAGGUGGGGAUGACGUACCAAGGUUGGUU